CGGCCGCGGUACUCUGACCGUGCAAAGGUAGCAUAAUCAUUUGCCUCUUAAUUAGAGGCUGGAAUGAACGGUUUAACAUGAGCAAGACUGUCUCUAUGCAAUUUUAUAAAAUUUAAUUUUUAGGUGAAGAAGCCUAUAUAUAAUUAAAAGACAAGAAGACCCUAUCGAGCUUUAAAAAAUUUAAAUGAAAUCUUUUAUAUUUAUAGAAAAAUUGCCUUUAAAAAUUUUAGUUGGGGCGACUAAGGAACAACAAAAACUUCUUUCUACUAACUAAGUUUACACACUUUGAUCCAGAAUUUUUGAUUAAAGAAAUUAGUUACCGUAGGGAUAACAGCAUAAUCUUUUUUGAGAGCUCUUAUCGAAAAAAAGGUUUGUGACCUCGAUGUUGGACCAGAAUAUCCUAAAGAUGCAACCGUCUUUAAGGGUUGGUCUGUUCGACCAUUAAAAUUCUACGU
Molecule: ribosomal RNA, 455 nt
Filed under: Littorinimorpha sp. RG-2014
Lineage: Eukaryota; Metazoa; Mollusca; Gastropoda; Littorinimorpha
Description: partial 16S ribosomal RNA
Rfam family: Bacterial large subunit ribosomal RNA
Source: RNAcentral